UCAAGCGCGAUAAGGGCGUUUGGUGGAUGCCUUGGCAGUAAGAGGCGAUGAAGGACGUGAUACUCUGCGAUAAGCCAUGGGGAGCUGAGAAUAAGCUUUGAUCCAUGGAUUUCCGAAUGGGGAAACCCACCUGAAACUUGAUUGUUGUUGCCUUCGGGCGGUCAACAAUUGGGUUAACCAGGUAUCUUUUACCUGAAUACAUAGGGUUUAAGAAGCGAACCCGGGGAACUGAAACAUCUAAGUACCCGGAGGAAAGGACAUCAAUAGAGACUCCGCUAGUAGUGGCGAGCGAACGCGGACCAGCCGAGCCUUGAGAGUGACGAGAACAGAUUGGAAAGUCUGGCCAUAGCGGGUGACAGCCCCGUAUCGGAAGCUCGAUGGGACGUAUCAAGUAGGGCGGGACACGUGAAAUCCUGUCUGAAGAUCGGGGGACCACCCUCGAAGGCUAAGUACUCCUUACUGACCGAUAGCGAACCAGUACCGUGAGGGAAAGGUGAAAAGCACCCCGACGAGGGGAGUGAAACAGUUUCUGAAACCGGACGCCUACAAGCAGUCGGAGCCCCCUUGAGGGGUGACGGCGUACCUUUUGUAUAAUGGGUCAACGACUUGGUCUGUCUAGCAAGCUUAAGCCGUUAGGUGUAGGCGCAGCGAAAGCGAGUCUUAAAUGGGCGACAUAGUUAGACGGAUCAGACCCGAAACCGAGUGAUCUAGGCAUGAGCAGGAUGAAGGUACGGUAACACGUACUGGAGGUCCGAACCCACACCUGUUGAAAAAGGUCGGGAUGACUUGUGCCUAGGGGUGAAAGGCCAAUCAAACUCGGAGAUAGCUGGUUCUCCGCGAAAGCUAUUUAGGUAGCGCCUCGGACGUAUUCCCUGGGGGGUAGAGCACUGCAUGGAUGAUGGGGGCCCACAGCCUUACUGAGUCUAAGCAAACUCCGAAUACCCAGGAGAACUAUCCGGGAGACACACGGCGGGUGCUAACGUCCGUCGUGGAGAGGGAAACAACCCUGACCAACAGCUAAGGCCCCCAAUUCGUGGCUAAGUGGGAAAGCAUGUGAGACUUCCAAAACAACCAGGAGGUUGGCUUAGAAGCAGCCAUCCUUUAAAGAUAGCGUAACAGCUCACUGGUCUAAUUAAGAGGUCUUGCGGCGAAGAUGUAACGGGGCUCAAGCCACGAGCCGAAGCUUUGGAUGCACUUUAGAGUGCGUGGUAGCGGAGCGUUCUGUGAUAUAGAACGCUGCCUCUUUAGCCCAGCAAUGGUCUACGGAGGCAAUGUUCUGACUGUGAAGCCGGGCCGUGAGGCAACCGGUGGAGUGAUCAGAAGUGAGAAUGUUGACAUGAGUAGCGACAAACAGGGUGAGAGACCCUGUCGCCGAAAGUCCAAGGGUUCCUGCUUAAAGCUAAUCUGAGCAGGGUAAGCCGGCCCCUAAGGCGAGGCCGAAAGGCGUAGUCGAUGGGAACCAGGUUAAUAUUCCUGGGCCAGGAGAUGGUGACGGAUCCCGAGGGUAGUUCGAUCUUAACGGAUUGAUCGGGCUGCUUAGGGGUCCCUGGAAAUAGCCCUCCACAAGACCGUACCCUAAACCGACACAGGUGGACUGGUAGAGAAUACCAAGGCGCUUGAGAGAACCACAUUUAAGGAACUCGGCAAAAUACCUCCGUAAGUUCGCGAGAAGGAGGCCCGGUUUUUGCGCAAGCAGAGGCCGGGGGCACAAACCAGGGGGUGGCGACUGUUUACUAAAAACACAGGGCUCUGCGAAGUCGUAAGACGACGUAUAGGGUCUGACGCCUGCCCGGUGCCGGAAGGUUAAAAGGAGAGGUGCAAGCCUUGAAUUGAAGCCCCGGUAAACGGCGGCCGUAACUAUAACGGUCCUAAGGUAGCGAAAUUCCUUGUCGGGUAAGUUCCGACCUGCACGAAUGGCGUAA
RNAcentral lists this ribosomal RNA (1922 nucleotides) under mollusc metagenome. Its description in RNAcentral is "bacterial LSU rRNA". It matches the Rfam family "Bacterial large subunit ribosomal RNA", at positions 1 to 2004 of the family's 2925-position model. The record is from RNAcentral.